AAUAUUGCACAAUGGGGGAAACCCUGAUGCAGCAACGCCGCGUGAGCGAUGAAGGCCUCCGGGUCGUAAAGUUCUGCCCUAAGGGCAGAUAAUGACGGUACCCUAGGAGGAUGCCCCGGCUACCUACGUGCCAGCAGCCGCGGCAAUCCGUAGGGGGCAAGCGUUAUCCGAAAUCAUUGGGCGUAAAGGGUGCAUAGGCUGCCCUAUAGGUCAGAGGUCAAAGGCUACGGCUCAGCCGUAGUAAGCCUUUGAAACUGUAGGGCUUGAGUGCAGGAGAGGAGAGUGGAAUUCCUAGUGUAGCGGUGAAAUGCGUAGAUAUUAGGAGGAACACCAGUGGCGAAGGCGACUCUCUGGACUGCAACUGACGCUGAGGCACGAAAGCGUGGGUAGCGAACA
RNAcentral lists this ribosomal RNA (396 nucleotides) under uncultured bacterium. RNAcentral describes it as "partial 16S ribosomal RNA". It matches the Rfam family "Bacterial small subunit ribosomal RNA", at positions 360 to 774 of the family's 1533-position model. The record is from RNAcentral.